UACGUAGGGGGCAAGCGUUGUCCGGAUUUAUUGGGCGUAAAGAGCGUGUAGGCGGCCAGGUAGGUCCGCUGUGAAAACUCGAGGCUCAACCUCGAGAUGUCGGCGGAAACCAUCUGGCCAGAGUCCGGAAGAGGAGAGUGGAAUUCCUGGUGUAGCGGUGAAAUGCGCAGAUAUCAGGAAGAACACCCGUGGCGAAGGCGGCUCUCUGGGACGGUACUGACGCUGAGACGCGAAAGCGUGGGGAGCGAACAGG
Molecule: ribosomal RNA, 253 nt
Filed under: uncultured bacterium
Lineage: Bacteria
Description: partial 16S ribosomal RNA
Rfam family: Bacterial small subunit ribosomal RNA
Source: RNAcentral